This 497-nucleotide ribosomal RNA is filed under the name uncultured bacterium. RNAcentral describes it as "partial 16S ribosomal RNA". It matches the Rfam family "Bacterial small subunit ribosomal RNA", at positions 28 to 507 of the family's 1533-position model. The record is from RNAcentral.
GAUGAACGCUGGCGGCGUGCCUAAUACAUGCAAGUCGAGCGAACGGACGAGAAGCUUGCUUCUCUGAUGUUAGCGGCGGACGGGUGAGUAACACGUGGAUAACCUACCUAUAAGACUGGGAUAACUUCGGGAAACCGGAGCUAAUACCGGAUAAUAUUUUGAACCGCAUGGUUCAAAAGUGAAAGACGGUCUUGCUGUCACUUAUAGACGGAUCCGCGCUACAUUAGCUAGUUGGUAAGGUAACGGCUUACCAAGGCAACGAUGCAUAGCCGACCUGAGAGGGUGAUCGGCCACACUGGAACUGAGACACGGUCCAGACUCCUACGGGAGGCAGCAGUAGGGAAUCUUCCGCAAUGGGCGAAAGCCUGACGGAGCAACGCCGCGUGAGUGAUGAAGGUCUUCGGAUCGUAAAACUCUGUUAUUAGGGAAGAACAUAUGUGUAAGUAACUGUGCACAUCUUGACGGUACCUAAUCAGAAAGCCACGGCUAACUACGUG